GAGAUGGAGUCUUGCUCUGUUGCCCAGGCUGGAGUGCAGUGGCAUGAUCUCAGCUCACUGCAGCCUCCACCUCUUGGGUUCAAGCAAUUCUCCUGCCUCAGCCUCCCAAGUAGCUGGGAUUACAAGUGCCCGCCACCACGCCUGGCUAAUUUUUGUGUUUUUGGUAGAGUUGGGGUUUCACCAUGUUGGCCAGGCUGGUCUCGACCUCCUGACCUGAGGUGAUCCGCCUGCCUCGGCCUUCCAAAGUGCUGGGAUUACAGGUGUGAGCCACCGCGCCCGGCCCCAUGAUUAGCUUUUAAUCACCAUUUUCAGAAGGAGGUUGGUGGCAUGCGGGGGCCGGGCUGGGGUGGCUUCCUCAGCAUGACGUCUGUGCAGAUGAGGCUUUGCAUCGUGCUCCAAAAAUACUUACCAUGUUUUGCCAGAAGAGAGGCCACCUUCUGUCCUCCGCUGAGGAUUUGAGUCCUUUUGCCCUUGGUGAGAACACCAAAGAGGACCGCCGGAAUGCGAGUUCAAAAGCAGAUUUCAAUCCUAAAUCUCUUAAACAGUCAGCAUUGGCUUGUCUCACUAGAAUACCCUGUUUCUCUUCUAGAAUUCUUCCCCUGCCUGCCCCCAAAAUGUGAAGCUUGCUGAAAUCAACUUGAAAGGAGAUAGCACAUGCCUUUUGUUUCUCCGCUCUCCCCCUAUUUCUCUUCCUUCCUGCUCCCUGCAUAAUCUGAAUUCUCUGAAGGCAGGAGGAAGCCAAGGUCAGAUUCAGGCAAGGUAAAUUUCUGAUGUGUGUGGACACGGAAGAGAAGAUGUCUAAAAGGCAACUAGAUGUGAGGCCUAGGCCCUGCAGAGUCUGCAGAGUAGAUCUGAGCUUGGAAGUCAGCAUGGGAUGGAGGCUGACCCCAGGGGAAAGGAACUGUGCAAGUGCAAGGUUUGCAUAAGUGGGUGCUUCUCAGGGUGACCAAGACCCUUCCGGAGACUUCAGUUCCUCUGACUAUAUGAGACCCAAGAGAAAAACAGCACAAAGUGCUCCUUGAGUUCAAGGGAAUACAUAAAUUCUGAACAUUUCCAUGUCUACUAGCAUACAACCUAAACAGGGAUAAAAAGACACCUUUCAAGUCAGAAAUAGGGAAGAUGCCACUUCUCUGCAUUUGCUGCUACCUCUUUAUUCCUUUCUUUAGGUCACCAAAUAUCUAUUGAGUGCUUGCUCUGUGAUCUGGCAGACAACUCAAAGGCACAGAGAUGAAGAUGAAACACACCAUGGAGCCAGGGAAGGGCCUGGAUGCUGUGGGAAACACUACAACAGGUAGAGCUCUGUAAAAAUGAGAUUUCAAUGAAGUUUACCAUCUAGUGGAGAAGAGAUCCAAGGACACCCGUGACUGAGAAAUAAAACAGAAUCAAUUGGGUGCAAUAGGAGAAGUUGCUGACAAAGGGCUUUGGAGACUGAGAAGAGAGAGAAACACCACCAAGUUCCUUGCAGAGAAAGGCAUUUGAUAAAAUGUGUGUUGAAUAAAAGGACCAGCGGUUUGUGGAGGAUGAGGAAAUGAUGGCUGUGAGAUGGGCCUGAGAGGAGGGGCAGGGUUUUGAACUGGGAGGAAAGGUGCCAUCCCAUUCAGGAGGAGGAUGAAAUCAGGGAUAAAAUGAGGUGGCUGAUAUGAAAGGAGUGGGGCAUCCUUGGCUUGGGCUUGUGAGGAGUGUGGGCCACAGUGCUAUGGGCAGUCAGGAGCCAGGCUUUCAGUUCUAACGGGGCUUAGAGAAAAGGCCGAUUCAAGUCUCUUUGCUGAUGGCAAGAGGAGGAAAGGGGGCUCUUGGUAACCGAGGACCUGCUUCUUAAGCGCUGGAGACUUCGCAUUCAUUACCUCACUUAACACUAAGAACUCUGUGAGGUAGCUCCUCAGUCCCAGCACUUUUCAGGCGUGGAAACUAAGGCUUAGAGAAGGAGUGUAC
RNAcentral lists this long non-coding RNA (1932 nucleotides) under Homo sapiens (human). RNAcentral describes it as "novel transcript, antisense to CYFIP2". Lineage: Eukaryota; Metazoa; Chordata; Mammalia; Primates; Hominidae. The record is from RNAcentral.